UUUCCGUAGGUGAACCUGCGGAGGGAUCACUCAUAAUAAAGUGUUUUAUGGCACUUUUUAAAAAUCCAUAUCCACCUUGUGUGCAAUGUUAGAUCUCGUCAAUCUUGGCGAGAUUUUUAUACAUCAACUCAUUCUUUAACUAAUUUGUCUGAAAAAUAUUAUGAAUACUUAAUUCAAAAUACAACUUUCAACAACGGAUCUCUUGGCUCUC
RNAcentral lists this unclassified non-coding RNA (211 nucleotides) under plant metagenome. Its description in RNAcentral is "partial contains small subunit ribosomal RNA, internal transcribed spacer 1, and 5.8S ribosomal RNA". The record is from RNAcentral.